AAUAGAAAAGAAAUGAGGGUUGG
This 23-nucleotide non-coding RNA is filed under the name Cricetulus griseus (Chinese hamster). Lineage: Eukaryota; Metazoa; Chordata; Mammalia; Rodentia; Cricetidae. The record is from RNAcentral.